GACAGUAGAAUGCUUGGGAAAUGGCCCCAGAGACAGACAGGGAGGGCCCUGGCUUGGCCUGCUUAACUGCUGACAGCCUAGCUCUUGGCACUGCCAGCUAACAGCCGAGAAUGGCAGAACAGCACUUAGUCUUAAAUUGUUCCAUGGCCCUUUGCCUUCCUUCCACAUGUCUCUCUUUUCCUGGCAUCCUUUUUUCCUGGACACCCAAAUGUGUCCUCAUCACUUGUCCUCCCCCAUUUUGAUGAAAGGAUCUAUUAAUGAAGACUUACAUUUUCUGCAAAGGAUCAGAAAAGAAACAAGUACGUUAAGAAGAAAAGUCACAGUGAUUGUAAGAAGCAAAUCUACCUCUCAUUACAGAAUAAUAUUCAACGUGAUUCUGCUUUGCAUGUGGGAGGAUUCAGAAGUGGGUGAUAAAGAGGCUGAGUAAAUAUUGUGAUUCCUAUUAAGGAGGACUGGGCCAGGAUAAUGGAUGACAAAUCCAAGCUUCUGUAUUUUGUCACAGGUCUGGAAAAGAGAAACGUGAAGAGUGAAGAUGGCAUUCACUGGUUCAUAAAUCAAAAGACUUCUGACAUGUGUAGUCUGUGAGGGAGCCAAACUGAUCUUCCAAAUUCUCAAAACAGAAGGACUAGGCACAUGGUCACAGGAAUGGAAAUGUUAAAUUUAGUGAAUGUGUUUUUGGAAAACAACCUCAAAAUCAAGAUGAAUACGAUCUUCAAAGAACUUGAGAGAACUUUCUGGAAGUUUUGCUUCUGUAUCUUUCACUCUGCACAUCAUUGUUUAACAAGCACAUUGUCACAUUUUUAAUAAUUAGUUAAGCAUGGAACAAGUCACUCACUAACAAAGGAAUAAAAGUACAAGCAAAAAGGAAUGCACAUUACUUGAGGACAGUGGAGGGGGAUAUUUUCCAGCUACUCCAGAUUUGAAGGGUCAUUAGUCACCUUGAUGACCCUUGCAUGAAAAUAAUGAGCACACAGGCAGUAAGGAGACAUUCUAAUAAAAAUUAGGUGACAAUAGAAGGUAAGAAUUGUUCAAGAUAUAACAAAAAUCCCAAGUGAAAGCCAUAUGGAAAGUUCCUAACACAGAGACAAGAAUCUCAAAAGAAGGUGACACAUGUCUUCCAUAAGAGGCCAUUUCCAGAAAUGACACAGAAAUUAUGAAUGCCUCAUUCUUAUUUGAAAGGCCUGAAAUGCUUAGAAGACUGGGCUUUGGGUACUGUAUAAAAGUUGAAACCUUUAACUGUUAGCCAUUUAACAAUUUAAUCUUGCUUUAUUUCUAUUUUAUUGAUUGAUUAAUUGAUUGAUAGCAAGUUUCUGUAAA
This is a long non-coding RNA of Mus musculus (house mouse), 1317 nucleotides long. RefSeq annotates it as predicted gene, 31115. The transcript is spliced from 3 exons. NCBI's taxonomy places the organism in Eukaryota, Metazoa, Chordata, Mammalia, Rodentia, Muridae. The record is from RefSeq and is a predicted model, not a curated record.